CCAAUAGCGUAUAUUAAAGUUGUUGCAGUUAAAAAGCUCGUAGUUGAAUUUCGGGGUCAGUGGGUCGGUCGUGCCACUGGUAUGUACUGGCCCUACUGAUUCCUCCUUCUUGAAGAACUGUAAUGCCAUUAAUUUGGUGUUGCAGGGAAACAGGACUGUUACUUUGAAAAAAUUAGAGUGUUUAAAGCAGGCAAUCGCUUGAAUACAUUAGCAUGGAAUAAUGAAAUAGGACGCUCGAUCCUAUUUUGUUGGUUUCUAGGAUUGACGUAAUGAUUAAUAGGGAUAGUUGGGGGCAUUAGUAUUCAAUUGUCAGAGGUGAAAUUCUUGGAUUUAUUGAAGACUAACUACUGCGAAAGCAUUUGCCAAGGAUGUUUUCAUUAAUCAAGAACGAAAGUUAGGGGAUCGAAGACGAUCAGAUACCGUCGUAGUCUUAACCAUAAACUAUGCCGACUAGGGAUCGGAUGAUGUUAAUUUUUUAACGACUCAUUCGGCGCCUUACG
RNAcentral lists this ribosomal RNA (500 nucleotides) under uncultured Glomeromycotina. RNAcentral describes it as "partial small subunit ribosomal RNA". It matches the Rfam family "Eukaryotic small subunit ribosomal RNA", at positions 591 to 1092 of the family's 1831-position model. Lineage: Eukaryota; Fungi; Glomeromycota. The record is from RNAcentral.